CUUGAAUAGUUUCUCCAAGGUCACCUCCACAGCUCUGCAGGCUUCCUUCCUGCCACUUUGAAACAGUUGCCAUGCAUAACGGUGCCUUUUCGAAUGGAUGCUCAAUCUUUUCACAGUAGUCCAAGGUGUUUGGAAGAAAUGCAGAAGAAAGCACAGCCUGAUGAACAAUCAUAUAAACAUGUAGAAUAUAUGCCCUCAAGAAGGUUCAAGACCUCUCCAAAUCCAGUUGCUAUUGCUUGGGUCAUUGGUUUUCCCUCUGCAUUCGCCCUUUUCUUCCUUGCUAAGAGACAGGUGGAAAAGAAACGUGUGAAACAGAUGAAAGCUCGCCGACAGAUGAUGGCAGCCAAUAAAGAAGAUAAUUUGACCCAAAGAACAGAAAAGCAUCUAGACACUAAGACUAGUUGAACUGUACACUUCAAUCAUUAAGUUACUGCCUUCAGAUUCUCAAAUUCUAGUACUUAAUUGGAGCAGAGUACUGUGCUGCAGAGCAGUUCCAAUUUCUCAAGUCUGCAUUUCUAUGGAUCAAAGUUAUCAAUAAAUUACCAUCAAGAUUACUGCAAUAAUCCUCUACAUCAGGGGUAUCUCAGGCAAGAAACAGCCGCCUGGCUUUAAGUGUAUUGUGCUUUUCUUACUUUGAAGGGAUUUCAUGCUAAAUCUGGAUAAAUGAAGAUGAAAUCGCAGGAGCUGUGAUCAUGUGGGUCACGAGAAUCCAACAAAACCACUUAUACUUUAUUUUUUUCUUUUUUGUGAGCCAUGUUUUCUGAAUAAUUGUGGGUUCUUUCAGUUAUAUCCCAUCAUAUUCUGGGUAGCAAAUGAAACCAGAUCACACCAUUCUAUCUUACCAAAAUUUAUGUAAAAUAUUGAACUCAUUAAAUAUUUGAAAAAUUUUAAAGUGCGGGUUAGUUUAUUACAGAUACUUAAGAAGAAUCCAAGCAAACUUGCAGUUUUGAGUGAUUGGCAAGCUAAUUGGUUCCAUUUCAACAGUUAGGCAAGAUGACACCCAGAUUUUACAUGCAGGUUUUAGCCUAAUCUUAGGAUCCUAAAAAUAAUGAUAAAAUUACAGGGUCCUUUUUAAUGUAUCAAAUUGAACAGUACAUUGUUGGAAGGAAAUUCUGUUUGCAGUUACUGCUGACAAAUUGUUACUACUAUUUUUACAUCUCAUUAAAAUUUCUGCUUUCUA
Long non-coding RNA from Protobothrops mucrosquamatus (brown spotted pit viper), 1180 nucleotides. RefSeq lists it as uncharacterized. The transcript has 3 exons. The record is from RefSeq and is a predicted model, not a curated record. NCBI's taxonomy places the organism in Eukaryota, Metazoa, Chordata, Lepidosauria, Squamata, Viperidae.